GUCUUUGCUUCUUAUGGUGCAUUCGUUUCCUUGUUUCAGCCUCUGCUAUGGUUCGUGAGGCUCCGGGUCCUUCUUUGGUCAUGUUGUCGAUGGGCGAUCGUCUACGGAAGCUUCCUCAGUCUUUGUUGGGUCUACUUCUGAUGAGUAUUUUCUUCUCAAUUUGCUGUCUUUUUUUAUUGUAUAAUUUUGCUAUUUACGCUAUUUGUGUUCUUUUUCUUAGUUUUGGCCUCUAGCGAGGCCCGUCGGCGUGGUUGGAAAUUUAGCACACGCUAUUUGUGUUUUUGUGCUUAGUUUUGUCUUCUGGUGAGGCCCGACGAUGGUUGGAAAUUCGGCGUGAGAAUCAUCAUCUGGUGAGUGCUUGCUUUGUUGGUGUUGUUAUUAGCUUCAUGUCCUUUAGUUGAUUGGUUGGGGCAUGCUGCUAAGAGGAAUGUCCAGCCUACGUUUAGUGAAUUUAUUGACCCUUAUCUUGCUUCUGUUAAGGUCGUAUCUCCUAUGAAAGUGUUGUACCGUCCUUAUUUUACUACGUCUUAUGGUAAUUUUUCCCCAAGCAUAGUUAUUUUCCUCCUAUAUAUAUAUGAUUGCCUGGUUUACUAUUUUAUUUGUUUAUCUUUUAUAGUCCUACCUACACUUGUUGUUAGUCGUCUUGAUGCUGCUUUUGGGAUCGUCGGACUUUAUGACAGAAGAAUACUUCUGUUCGGAUGUACUUCUCAAUGGAUUUGUCCCAUUCUUCCUUAAGAGCGUCUCUAUGGAGCUAAGGAUAAACCAAAAAAUGCCUCCCCAUCACCUUAGAAUUGGAUUAGCCAUCUACAAAAAGUUACAAUGAUAUUCUGUACAUUCACCAUGCAUGUAAGUUCCUUGUGUUCCAUAGCAAUUUUAUUCGGUUUGCAGUUUUGGAUUGCAACCUACGACCUGCAGUCACCGGCCCUGGGGCUACGAAGCAAGCCGUGCAUGCCCUAAUCUUCAUAAGUAUGUUAUCUCCCGUAGAUGCAAGGUACUUAUCAACCUAUAUUCGCUAAAUUUGUUGGGGUAGCAGCUAAUUUAUCUAGAAUAGCGUAUUGGUGGCUGUUAUUUUUUUUUCCUGUGUCAUUCAGCAAUGAAAUAGCGGUCUUUGCUAUAUGAUUUAUUUCAGUUCAUCUGACGGAACAAGUUUGCAUCUCAUGUCAGAAUUACGGAAAGUUUCUAAAAGGAAAUAUAACCUAAUUUCGUUCCUUCACUCUUGAUUUGUCCCAUUUCAUGUCGUCUGCUCUCCUCUAGGUUCGUCCCCAAUCAUAAAAUUUGGAGUCUCGCACUGAAGAACCAAGGAGGUGGAAGUAUGAACAAUGCCCUCAUCAAAGCAACUCAGUUUGGAUUUGAAUCUAAGGAUGACUAUUGAGAAAAACGUACCCAACCUCCUUCAUAUGAGGCACUUGGCAGGGAGACGAUGGGCUAUACUUCCACAUAGCCUGUGACCAUGAUGAGUAUAUGGUAUUUUGGCUAGCUUUCUUUGUUGUGUUAAAAAUUGAGUCGGGUAGGAUGUGAAGUCUUCACAGAAAUGGAAACAUUUUUGUACGACCACGGACUCUUGAAAGGAACAAAAACAGGUGCCCGAAAUGAUACUCCCUCCGUUCCUAAAUAUAUCUCUUUUUAGAGAUUUCAAUGCGGACUACAUAAGGAGCAAAACAAGGAGUAGAUCGGGAGUAACAUGCAUGCUCCAAGUUGUGAGCAGUUUUGUAUUUCAGAGAGAUGUUUAUCCUAAAGUGAAAGUUUUUCUUAUGAAUAUUUCUUAUUGUGCGAGUCAUGUGGUGUUCGUUCCCUACAUACUUCAGAUUUAAAGGACAGGAUGGCCAACACUCUAUUAAUAUUAUGAACGAUCUGAAUUAACAAUGUUCUUUAAAUAAAAACAUUGUCAUCAAUUGAAGGGUUUUUGAAUUAAAAUAUCCUACAUGGUUAAUUUAAUUCUUUC
This 1942-nucleotide long non-coding RNA is filed under the name Hordeum vulgare. RNAcentral describes it as "long non-coding RNA (HVUL_LNC018217)". The record is from RNAcentral. Lineage: Eukaryota; Viridiplantae; Streptophyta; Magnoliopsida; Poales; Poaceae.